AGGUACAGCCAUACCAGUCUGAAAGUGCCUGAUCUUGUCAGAUCUUAGCAUCCAUCCAGACUUGGGCAUGAUUAGUAAUCAUAUGGGAGACCAACUAGGAACCAAAGGUGUUUGUAUUAA
Molecule: non-coding RNA, 120 nt
Organism: Pelobates cultripes (western spadefoot toad)
Lineage: Eukaryota; Metazoa; Chordata; Amphibia; Anura; Pelobatidae
Source: the annotation of a GenBank genome assembly